RNAcentral lists this ribosomal RNA (494 nucleotides) under uncultured bacterium. RNAcentral's name for it is "partial 16S ribosomal RNA". It matches the Rfam family "Bacterial small subunit ribosomal RNA", at positions 28 to 507 of the family's 1533-position model. The record is from RNAcentral.
GACGAACGCUGGCGGCGUGCUUAACACAUGCAAGUCGAACGGUGAAGCGCCUUCCUUUUUGGUGGGUGUGGAUGAGCGGCGAACGGGUGAGUAACACGUGAGUAACCUGCCCCCUUCUUCUGGAUAACCGCAUGAAAGUGUGGCUAAUACGGGAUAUUCUGGGUCUGUCGCAUGAUGGGUCUGGGAAAGAUAUUGUUUCGGUGGGGGAUGGGCUCGCGGCCUAUCAGCUUGUUGGUGGGGUGAUGGCCUACCAAGGCGGUGACGGGUAGCCGGCCUGAGAGGGUGGACGGUCACACUGGGACUGAGACACGGCCCAGACUCCUACGGGAGGCAGCAGUGGGAAAUAUUGCACAAUGGGCGCAAGCCUGAUGCAGCGACGCCGCGUGAGGGAUGGAGGCCUUCGGGUUGUGAACCUCUUUCGCCAGUGAAGCAGGCCUGCCUCGUUUGUGGGUGGGUUGACGGUAGCUGGAUAAGAAGCGCCGGCUAACUACGUG